Molecule: ribosomal RNA, 253 nt
Filed under: uncultured bacterium
Lineage: Bacteria
Description: partial 16S ribosomal RNA
Rfam family: Bacterial small subunit ribosomal RNA
Source: RNAcentral
UACGGAAGGGGCAAGCGUUGUUCGGAAUCAUUGGGCGUAAAGGGCGCGUAGGUGGUUCUGUAUGUCUACCGUGAAAGCGUACGGCUCAACCGUAUUUAGUCGGUAGAAACUGCAGGACUUGAGGCUGGGAGGGGCUGGUGGAAUUCCCUGUGUAGCGGUGAAAUGCGUAGAUAUCUGGAGGAACACCGGUGGCGAAGGCGGCGUUCUGGACUGCAACUGACACUGAGGAACGAAAGCCAGGGGAGCAAACGGG